GCUCUCAUAGUUCAAUGGAUAGAACAAAUCUCUCCUAAAGAUUAGAUCCCAGUUCGAUUCUGGGUGGGAGUACCA
RNAcentral lists this transfer RNA (75 nucleotides) under Candidatus Equicola stercoris. Its description in RNAcentral is "tRNA-Arg". It matches the Rfam family "tRNA". From Rfam's summary of the family: Transfer RNA (tRNA) molecules are approximately 80 nucleotides in length. Their secondary structure includes four short double-helical elements and three loops (D, anti-codon, and T loops). Further hydrogen bonds mediate the characteristic L-shaped molecular structure. tRNAs have two regions of fundamental functional importance: the anti-codon, which is responsible for specific mRNA codon recognition, and the 3' end, to which the tRNAs corresponding amino acid is attached (by aminoacyl-tRNA synthetases). tRNAs cope with the degeneracy of the genetic code in two manners: having more than one tRNA (with a specific anti-codon) for a particular amino acid; and 'wobble' base-pairing, i.e. permitting non-standard base-pairing at the 3rd anti-codon position. The record is from RNAcentral. Lineage: Bacteria; Pseudomonadati; Bacteroidota; Bacteroidia; Bacteroidales; Bacteroidaceae.